AGAGUUUGAUCAUGGCUCAGAUUGAACGCUGGCGGAAUGCUUUACACAUGCAAGUCGAGCGGCAGCGCGGGGCAACCUGGCGGCGAGCGGCGAACGGGUGAGUAAUGCAUCGGAACAUGUCCAUGUCGUGGGGAUAGCCCGGCGAAAGCCGGAUUAAUACCGCAUACGCCGAGAGGGAAAGCAGGGGACCGCAAGGCCUUGCGCGAUUGGGUUGGCCGAUGUCCGAUUAGCUUGUUGGUGAGGUAAAGGCUUACCAAGGCGAUGAUCGGUAGCUGGUCUGAGAGGAUGAUCAGCCACACUGGGACUGAGACACGGCCCAGACUCCUACGGGAGGCAGCAGUGGGGAAUUUGGACAAUGGGGGGCAACCCUGAUCCAGCCAUUCCGCGUGAGUGAAGAAGGCCUUCGGGUUGUAAAGCUCUUUUGUCCGGAGCGAAACGGGCGGCCCUAAUACGGUCGUCUACUGACGGUACCGGAAGAAUAAGCACCGGCUAACUACGUG
RNAcentral lists this ribosomal RNA (500 nucleotides) under uncultured bacterium. RNAcentral's name for it is "bacterial SSU rRNA". It matches the Rfam family "Bacterial small subunit ribosomal RNA", at positions 8 to 507 of the family's 1533-position model. The record is from RNAcentral.